CUCCACAGGGAUUCUUACUAAAUGUUGAGCUCCAGUAUUACUCGACUAGUAUUCUUACCAUAUUCUGACCACCAUUCACUUUCUAUUAGGAUUCCUACGAUUGUCUUAACAUCGGUCUAUCUUAAGUAGAAGCAAGUAUACCAACUAAUCUGCAGUCUCUCUUCAAACUAUCUUCUGAAGACGCGUCUCAACAAAGAUUCUUAUGAUCUACUGGCCUCUAGUCUCUCUUCAGCAGGAGCUUUUUACAUCAGUCUGUCACAGUUCUAGGAAUUUUGCCAUCACCUAAAUCAAGUUUCUCCACACUCUAGGUUUUUUUGUUUCUGUCUACUG
Non-coding RNA from Pelobates cultripes (western spadefoot toad), 330 nucleotides. NCBI's taxonomy places the organism in Eukaryota, Metazoa, Chordata, Amphibia, Anura, Pelobatidae. The record is from the annotation of a GenBank genome assembly.